GUGUCAGCAGCCGCGGUAAUACGUAGGUCACAAGCGUUGUCCGGAUUUAUUGGGCGUAAAGGGAGCGCAGGCGGUUUGUUAAGUCUGAUGUGAAAGCCCACGGCUCAACCGUGGAACGGCAUUGGAAACUGGCAAACUUGAGUAUAGAAGAGGAAAGUGGAAUUCCAUGUGUAGCGGUGAAAUGCGUAGAUAUAUGGAGGAACACCAGUGGCGAAGGCGACUUUCUGGUCUAUAACUGACGCUGAGGCUCGAAAGCGUGGGGAGCGAACAGGAUUAGAAACCCUCGUAGUCC
Molecule: ribosomal RNA, 292 nt
Filed under: uncultured prokaryote
Description: partial 16S ribosomal RNA
Rfam family: Bacterial small subunit ribosomal RNA
Source: RNAcentral